Long non-coding RNA from Poeciliopsis prolifica (blackstripe livebearer), 871 nucleotides. RefSeq lists it as uncharacterized. The transcript is spliced from 3 exons. The record is from RefSeq and is a predicted model, not a curated record. NCBI's taxonomy places the organism in Eukaryota, Metazoa, Chordata, Actinopteri, Cyprinodontiformes, Poeciliidae.
UUUUUUUUUUUUUUUUUUUUUUUUUUUUUUUUAUGAAUUUGGUGUAUAAAAUACCUUGACAUUAGCAUACAGUAGUUAAUGAGCUAAAGUGACAUGUUUUAUUUUUUAAAACUAAACAUAGCAUUUCAAACAUUCAAUUUAGUUGGAAUUAAUUUCAAGUUUAUGAAUCUCAGGGAGAAAUUAAGUGUUACUGUAGUGCAUAAGUAUCGUAAAAAAGUCUUUGUAGAUGGUGAUGUUUGUGGGCAUGAAGGGCUCCAGAAACAGCUGACUUUAUGAACUUGUUCAUUAACCAUAAGGGCAGAGAUCUAGAGGAACAGCAAAAGCAAAGGAGGUGGAUUAGCAGAAUAUGCCAAUAGCUGAUGGAGUUAUCCAGGACGUGUUGCUGUGGAUUACCGUCUCUGCUGAGCUUUCGUGACACUGUCAGAGGCAUCUUCCAAUUAAUUUCAACACUAACUGCUACAGGAGAUCUACAACAACUGUUGGAAGAUGCUGGAACGAUAUGAGUUGGAUAAGCAACACCUGUUCUGGCAUUCUGAUUGGCUGUGGAUACUUCCAGGAGGUUGGCCAUCAGCUGACACCGGCUGGUACUGACCCGGUUCCUGCUCUGGUUCUGCUGGAGGUUCCUUAAGGGGUGCUUUCCUCUCCACCAUUGUCCUGUGCUGGUCAGGAGGAGUAAUGCUGAGGGUCAAUGACUCGAUGCAAUCUGCAGAUAGAAACUUUCUAAAGUAAUCUGAAUAAUUAACUUAGCUUAGUGCACUGUUUGACAACCAGGUCCAGUCAGAAUGGGUGUGUGAUUGAAUUUAAAGAAUUUUCUUGUAAAGUGCCUUGAGAUAACAUCACUUGUGAAUUGGUGCUGAAUAAAAGAACUGAA